GGUUUUAUAUUUUAAAUUAAAAUAUUAAAUUGCAAAUUUAAUGAUAUGUAAGUGCGUUAAAACUU
Molecule: transfer RNA, 65 nt
Filed under: Chaleponcus netus
Lineage: Eukaryota; Metazoa; Arthropoda; Diplopoda; Spirostreptida; Odontopygidae
Description: tRNA-Cys
Source: RNAcentral